AGUAACUGCGAGUGAAGCGGGAAAAGCUCAAAUUUAAAAUCUGGCAGUCUUUGGCUGUCCGAGUUGUAAUCUAGAGAAGUAUUAUCCGCGCUGGACCGUGUACAAGUCUCCUGGAAUGGGGCGUCAUAGAGGGUGAGAAUCCCGUCUUUGACACGGACUGCCAGGGCUUUGUGAUGUGCUCUCAAAGAGUCGAGUUGUUUGGGAAUGCAGCUCAAAAUGGGUGGUAAAUUCCAUCUAAAGCUAAAUAUUGGCGAGAGACCGAUAGCGAACAAGUACCGUGAGGGAAAGAUGAAAAGAACUUUGGAAAGAGAGUUAAACAGUACGUGAAAUUGCUGAAAGGGAAACGCUUGAAGUCAGUCACGUUGGCCAGGGAUCAACCUUGCUUUUUUGCUUGGCUUACUUUCUGGUUGAUGGGUCAGCAUCAAUUUUGACUGGUGGAAAAAGUUCAAGGGAAUGUGGCAUCUUCGGAUGUGUUAUAGCCUUUGUUCGCAUACAUUGGUUGGGAUUGAGGAACUCAGCACGCCGCAAGGCCGGGUUUUUAACCACGUACGUGCUUAGGAUGCUGGCAUAAUGGCUUUAAUCGACCCGUCUUGAAACACGGACCAAGGAGUCUAACAUGCCUGCGAGUGUUUGGGUGAAAAACCCGAGCGCGUAAUGAAAGUGAAAGUUGAGAUCCCUGUCGUGGGGAGCAUUGACGCCCGGAUCUGACCUUUUGUGACGAUUCUGCGGUAGAGCAUGUAUGUUGGGACCCGAAAGAUGGUGAACUAUGCCUGAAUAGGGUGAAGCCAGAGGAAACUCUGGUGGAGGCUCGUAGCGAUUCUGACGUGCAAAUCGAUCGUCAAAUUUGGGUAUAGGGGCGAAAGACUAAUCGAAC
RNAcentral lists this ribosomal RNA (874 nucleotides) under Laccaria amethystina. Its description in RNAcentral is "LSU rRNA". It matches the Rfam family "Eukaryotic large subunit ribosomal RNA", at positions 82 to 940 of the family's 3401-position model. Lineage: Eukaryota; Fungi; Basidiomycota; Agaricomycetes; Agaricales; Hydnangiaceae. The record is from RNAcentral.